This is a long non-coding RNA of Rhipicephalus microplus (southern cattle tick), 480 nucleotides long. NCBI's taxonomy places the organism in Eukaryota, Metazoa, Arthropoda, Arachnida, Ixodida, Ixodidae. The record is from RefSeq and is a predicted model, not a curated record.
GGUACAUAAGACUUCUGAACCUGUCUGAUGCGAAUCGUUGCUCCGUUAUUUCCUCAUACGCUACUGUAAUCACAAGCCUAACAUUUUUUUCUGAGAGGACAUAUCUUUUGGUAUUGUAACACACGUUGUAGGACUAUACCUGCCUUGAAUCUCAAGUCACCAAAACUGGAACGCUUCACUGGAGUAUGCCAAAAUUCCAUAACGCGAGGACAAUCAUGAAGAGAGCGUUUUUAUUAAUAUUGGUGUUGGUCUUCAAUUUUAGGGCUGAUGUGCACGGUUCGAGCAAAAGUGAGUCACGCUUGACCGUUUACGACCUAAGACUAUGCGCAAAUUAUAAUUGUUCAGAAGACCCGUGCCCUAAGAACUGCAAAUGUCCACCGCAUAUUCCUUGGUCAUUGGGACGAACUAAUUGUUAUUGGCGUUAGCAGCGCCUUGUUAUUUUUCUACAAUAAACGGGUUGAUGAUAUGCAUCAGCUUUCA